This 228-nucleotide ribosomal RNA is filed under the name uncultured bacterium. RNAcentral describes it as "partial 16S ribosomal RNA". It matches the Rfam family "Bacterial small subunit ribosomal RNA", at positions 1265 to 1500 of the family's 1533-position model. The record is from RNAcentral.
GCGCGGAACCUGAAAACCUAGUCUCAGUUCGGAUCGGAGUCUGNAACCCGACUCCGUGAAGCUGGAUUCGCUAGUAAUCGCGCAUCAGCCAUGGCGCGGUGAAUACGUUCCCGGGCCUUGUACACACCGCCCGUCAAGCCAUGGGAGCCGGGAGUGCCUGAAGUCCGUGACCGCGAGGAGCGGCCUAGGGUAAGACCGGUGACUGGGGCUAAGUCGUAACAAGGUACC